RNAcentral lists this ribosomal RNA (505 nucleotides) under uncultured bacterium. Its description in RNAcentral is "partial 16S ribosomal RNA". It matches the Rfam family "Bacterial small subunit ribosomal RNA", at positions 29 to 523 of the family's 1533-position model. The record is from RNAcentral.
AGUGAACGCUGGCGGUAGGCCUAACACAUGCAAGUAGAACGGCAGCACAUGAGAGCUUGCUCCCUGGUGGCGAGUGGCGGCCGGGGGAGGAAUACAUCGGAAUCUACUUUUUCGUGGGGGAUAACGUAGGGAAACUUACGCUAAUAACGAAUACGAACUACGGGCGCAAGCAGGGGACCUUCAGCCCUUGCGCGAUUGAAUGAGUCGAGGGUGGAUUAGCUAGUUGGCGGGGUAGAGGCCCACCAAGGCGACGAUCCGUAGGGUGACGGAGAGGAUGAUCAGCCACACGUGAACUGAGACACGGUACAGACUCCUACGGGAGGCAGCAGUGGGGAAUAUUGGACAAUGGGCGCAAGCCUGAUCCAGCCAGACCGCGUUGGUGAAGAAGGCCUUCGGGUUGUAAAGCCCGUUUGUUGGGAAAGAAAUCCAGCUGGCUAAUACCCGGUUGAGAUGACAGUACACAAAGAAUAAGCACCGGCUAACUUCGUGCCAGCCGCCGCCGUAA